GAACAGCAAUUCCUAGGUCCACCUGAAGAUCAUGAUAGAGUCGGCUCAGUUAGUAAAAUCAAAACUAUAAAAAGAAAUAUUAACAAAUUUGUACACUACGAAUGCACAUGAAGCCAGCCACAGAAUCUACUGAUGCAGGUUCAUGAUAUGCCAAAAAAGGGCAAAUUCCAGGAUUUUGAUAUACGGAUGAUUGUUUUAUUCCUAGCAUAGCAAACCUGGAUGCUUGAUUAAUGAGAGUUGAAAUUACUAGGCUUGAGGAUUGUUUUGUGAUUCAAGUUUUUCAAUUAACUUGAUAAAUGUAAUCUAUAAGAAGUCUCAAGAUAUCAAUCAAUUUUUAGUUUAACAUCAAUCAAUCUUUAGUUCCAUGGUCAGAAUUUAUUAGCUGAAGUCUUGAAUCUUUUAGGAAUAAUAUACACAUUUCUAGAUAAUUUUACAAGCAGGAGUUACUUAAUUCACUUGUAUCUUUAUUUUUCUGGAAUCCACCCAAGAUCUGUCUAGGGAAGUGGAUUGCUUCCACCACAUUUAUUUCCAUCUUAAAUUACCAUCCAAUAUCCUAAUAUUUCUGUUUUAAUUUCCUCAGCUGUGCAGGUUGUAGCCAUAUAGCUGGUUAUCAAGAUCAGUGUAGUAUAAAAAUUGACUUAUUUUUUCAAGUUCUGAAAACAAAAAUUCAUAAAUAGCAAGAAGUGACUGACCGCUCCCUUUCCACCAUGGGCA
Molecule: unclassified non-coding RNA, 714 nt
Filed under: Hevea brasiliensis (rubber tree)
Lineage: Eukaryota; Viridiplantae; Streptophyta; Magnoliopsida; Malpighiales; Euphorbiaceae
Source: RNAcentral